AAUGUUUGGACUCCAUAGUUCUGAAAUUCCACUAGUUUUUAGCUACCUUCUGAAUUCGUGUGCCAGGAGAGAUGCUCAGGAGGGUGUUUGCAGAGCACAGCUCAGCUGCCAUCCCCCAGACCUGUCCUUCCCACUUCAUACUAAGGAGCCGGUAUUUCUGCAGAUCGUGGUGCAAGCUGCCAUCUGGUGGAUGUUGCUGGAGAGCAGAUCAUUUAAGUAAAUGAAGACUAGACAUGGCAUACACAAACACCUUGCUCUGAGGCAGUCCAAAGGACUUGGGAGUCUCUUCUAUGUUUCUGCUUUGGAUGAAGUGCACCAGAAUCAAACACCAAACUUCCGAAAGUUCUCAGCUGCCUGCAUUGCCCACUGUAAUGUUUAUCAUCACCUUUACACCAGGAAUUGUACCCAUCACUUCUUUGAUAACAGGAUGGCAUCUGUAGUGCCUGAAAGGCAAUUGAACCAUUUUGUAAAUCAACUCGCAAUUCAAUAAUGAAUAUUUUUGUUCAUGGCAGACUGAUCAUGACAGAGUUUCAAGAGUAGUUAUUCAUAUUCAGUAGCCCUCCACAUUGUAAAAGCUACUGCAAACUCUCUGCAAAGCACCAGUGAAGCUGAGAAACUCACCAUGUAACCCAAUCAGAGAAAUGAAAGCAAUAAAGGAAUGAAGGAUAUGUUAUAAAUUGACCUG
RNAcentral lists this long non-coding RNA (685 nucleotides) under Apteryx rowi (Okarito brown kiwi). Its description in RNAcentral is "lncRNA (ENSARWG00000003705.1)". Lineage: Eukaryota; Metazoa; Chordata; Aves; Apterygiformes; Apterygidae. The record is from RNAcentral.